AUGUCGCACAAGGGGGCGCGCGGCCCUGCGAUUCCCCGUGCGGCCGCCAGGGGGCGGUGGGUCAGAGUCGGGCACUGCCGGACACGGCACCCCCCUCCACCCCGUUUCCCGGCGGCAGCCGCGCGGCGACCGGCGGCGCCCAGGCCCGAGCGCGGCGGGGACGCGGGCGCGCCGCCCCUCCUUUGUGUCCCCCAGCCCCCCCUAGCCCGGCCCAGAGGGGCGGGGGCUCCGCAACUGCGGUGCCCGUCGCACGCGGCCCGAGGCCUAAGCCGGGAACAAUCGGCGGCGGCGCGCAGUCGCCGCCAUGUCCCCCGCCCUCACCCCCGCGCAGCCCGCCCCGCAGGAACAUGGCGGCGCGGCCGCCGCUCCCGCCGAGCCCGGGCGCCCUCCCGCGCCGCGCUCGCAGCCAGCGGGCGGCCGAAGACGGCUCCGCGCCGCCUCCGAGGUCGGCCUGGGCCUGCUCCGCCGGCCACGGCCCGGGAAGUUGCGAGCCCCGCCCGGGGGCUGUCCACGCGGGUUAACAAAGCCCACACGGAGUGGGGGUGGCGUCCAGGCCGCGCCGCCCCAAGCACCCGCGCCCUCCGCCCACCCUCGCGCGCACAAAGUUUGGGGGCCCGCGAGCUCCCGGCCACGCCGCGCCGCCCGCCGGCGCGCAGGUACCUCGUGGGCGCGCCCCCUCUCGGCCCGCGGCCUGCCCCAUGUGCCGCUGCCGCCGCCGCUUUGUUCUGGAGGCGCUUUAACUCUCGCCCCCGGAGAAACUUUCCCUGCCCGGGGACCUGGCGCCUCGCGUGCGCCCUGAGCCCCGGAGGGGGCGCAGGCCUCGCGCGUCCCUUCCCCGAGGGGCCAUUGUGUCCGCCGCGCGCCCACCCGCCCGGCCGGCCCGGGCAGGGUCCGCGCGGGUCCCGGGCGCGGCCGCCGCGCGCACGCCGCCCCCUCCCACUCUCCCGACCGCGGCCCGGCCCUGCCCCUCCGCCAGCCCGCGUGCGAGAGAGGGGGCAGCGAGUCGCCGCUGCCACACGCCAGGGCGGCCAACGGCCCCGAGACCCGCCCCGGUCCCCAGCCACGCCGCCGCCGCCACGCUGCCCCGGGCCAUUCCGCCCCACCCGCCCGCCGCCCUUCGGACCCGGGCCACACACAACAGGUUUCACUCACUCGGCGGAGGGGCGGGCAGACUCACCAAGAGGAGUAGCCGCCACCAUCUUCGCCUCGCCCGCCGCGGGCUCUCGCUCCCGCCUCCCCACCCGCCUCCGCUUUACUACGACCCGAGGCCCCAGGCCGGGGGUGCGGCCCGCCGGCCGGCCCGCCCCGCCGAGGGGCUUCGCGAGGGGCGCGAGCCGCGGCGGCGCGGCAGGGGUCGUCCCCACCCCCUCGGCCUCGCCCGAGGGCGCGAAGUGGCGCGAAGGCGCAGGUCGGGCGGCUGCGGCGGCACCUCGAAGGACCAUGUGGGUGAAUGAAGGGCGGCGGCUCCCGCCUCAACGUAAAUACGGACAAGCCCCACUCCCUCAUUAG
This 1509-nucleotide long non-coding RNA is filed under the name Sus scrofa (pig). RNAcentral describes it as "lncRNA (ENSSSCG00070020782.1)". Lineage: Eukaryota; Metazoa; Chordata; Mammalia; Artiodactyla; Suidae. The record is from RNAcentral.